RNAcentral lists this ribosomal RNA (924 nucleotides) under Salmonella enterica subsp. enterica serovar Kentucky. RNAcentral's name for it is "bacterial LSU rRNA". It matches the Rfam family "Bacterial large subunit ribosomal RNA", at positions 647 to 1574 of the family's 2925-position model. The record is from RNAcentral. Lineage: Bacteria; Pseudomonadati; Pseudomonadota; Gammaproteobacteria; Enterobacterales; Enterobacteriaceae.
UAACCGUAUAGGGGAGCCGGAGGGAAACCGAGUCUUAACUGGGCGUUAAGUUGCAGGGUAUAGACCCGAAACCCGGUGAUCUAGCCAUGGGCAGGUUGAAGGUUGGGUAACACUAACUGGAGGACCGAACCGACUAAUGUUGAAAAAUUAGCGGAUGACCUGUGGCUGGGGGUGAAAGGCCAAUCAAACCGGGAGAUAGCUGGUUCUCCCCGAAAGCUAUUUAGGUAGCGCCUCGUGAACUCAUCUCCGGGGGUAGAGCACUGUUUCGGCUAGGGGGUCAUCCCGACUUACCAACCCGAUGCAAACUGCGAAUACCGAAGAAUGUUAUCACGGGAGACACACGGCGGGUGCUAACGUCCGUCGUGAAGAGGGAAACAACCCAGACCGCCAGCUAAGGUCCCAAAGUCACAGUUAAGUGGGAAACGAUGUGGGAAGGCCCAGACAGCCAGGAUGUUGGCUUAGAAGCAGCCAUCAUUUAAAGAAAGCGUAAUAGCUCACUGGUCGAGUCGGCCUGCGCGGAAGAUGUAACGGGGCUAAACCAUGCACCGAAGCUGCGGCAGCGACGCUGAUGCGUUGUUGGGUAGGGGAGCGUUCUGUAAGCCUGUGAAGGUGGCCUGUGAGGGUUGCUGGAGGUAUCAGAAGUGCGAAUGCUGACAUAAGUAACGAUAAAGCGGGUGAAAAGCCCGCUCGCCGGAAGACCAAGGGUUCCUGUCCAACGUUAAUCGGGGCAGGGUGAGUCGACCCCUAAGGCGAGGCCGAAAGGCGUAGUCGAUGGGAAACGGGUUAAUAUUCCCGUACUUGGUGUUACUGCGAAGGGGGGACGGAGAAGGCUAUGUUGGCCGGGCGACGGUUGUCCCGGUUUAAGCGUGUAGGCUGGUUUUCCAGGCAAAUCCGGAAAAUCAAGGCUGAGGCGUGAUGACGAGG